CCAUGGUGUUUCUUUGAGGGAUGGUGGAAAUGUUCUGAAAUGUUAAAGACGUCCAGCUGUGUGAGACGGCCCCUCUGAGCAGCCCUGCCUGGUGGUGCCACGCUGCCGCCCCCUUGAGGACGUGCAGGUCACAGGGUCAGCCUGUGCUGGGUUAUGUUCAGUAGACUUCUAGGCAGGCAGCAUUUUAGUUCUUAACAGUGAACUAAGUUUAUAUCCUCUGCCGUUAGCUUUUCUGAUUUCACAGGGUAAUCUCUCCAAAAUGUGUUAAAUUCAAGUACAUUUUACUUUAUUUGUCUUAUUUUUAACAGGAUAGGAAAAACUUGUUGGAGACCCGAUUGCACAUCACUGGCAGAGAACUGAGGUCCAAAAUAGCUGAAACCUUUGGACUUCAAGAAAAUUAUAUCAAAAUUGUCAUAAAUAAGAAGCAACUACAACUAGGGAAAACCCUUGAAGAACAAGGCGUGGCUCACAAUGUGAAAGCGAUGGUGCUUGAACUAAAACAGUCUGAAGAGGAUGCGAGGAAAAACUUCCAGUUAGAGGAAGAGGAGCAAAAUGAGGCCAAACUCAAAGAAAAACAAAUUCAGAGGACCAAGAGAGGACUAGAAAUACUGGCAAAGAGAGCAGCAGAGACAGUGGUGGAUCCAGAAAUGACACCGUACUUAGACAUAGCUAACCAGACAGGCAGAUCAAUCAGAAUUCCCCCAUCAGAAAGAAAAGCCCUUAUGUUAGCUAUGGGAUAUCAUGAGAAGGGCAGAGCUUUCCUGAAAAGAAAAGAAUAUGGAAUAGCCUUGCCAUGUCUGUUGGACGCUGACAAAUAUUUCUGGUAGGCGCUUUUGUACUUGGUGAACACCAGCUUUAAGGAAGAUGGCCC
This 871-nucleotide small RNA is filed under the name Pan troglodytes (chimpanzee). RNAcentral describes it as "retained intron". The record is from RNAcentral. Lineage: Eukaryota; Metazoa; Chordata; Mammalia; Primates; Hominidae.